RNAcentral lists this ribosomal RNA (494 nucleotides) under uncultured bacterium. RNAcentral's name for it is "partial 16S ribosomal RNA". It matches the Rfam family "Bacterial small subunit ribosomal RNA", at positions 28 to 507 of the family's 1533-position model. The record is from RNAcentral.
GACGAACGCUGGCGGCGUGCUUAACACAUGCAAGUCGAACGGAAAGGCCUGCUUUCCCUUGUGGAUUGCGGGUACUCGAGUGGCGAACGGGUGAGUAACACGUGAGUGAUCUGCCCCCAACUUGGGUAUAAGCCUGGGAAACUGGGUCUAAUUCCCGAUAGGACUGCAGGGUGGUGCCUGUGGUGGAAAACGAUUUUCUAGUGGUUGGGGAUGAGCUCGCGGCCUAUCAGCUUGUUGGUGGGGUAAUGGCCUACCAAGGCGGCGACGGGUAGCCGGCCUGAGGGGGUGGACCGGCACAGUGGGACUGAGCUGCGGCCCAGACUCCUACGGGCGGCAGCAGUGGGGACGAGUGGACGAUGGGCGGAAGCCUGAUGCAGCGACGCCGCGUGGGGGAUGACGGGCUUCGGGUGGUAAGCUCCUUUCGACCGCGAGGAAGCCACCUGGUUGGAAGGGUGGUGACGGUAGUGGUAGAAGAAGCACCGGCUAACUACGUG